GGGCUCUUCAAAGCUGCAAAAAGACCCAAAGUCAUGAAAAGACACGAAGUUGAAGUCCUGAAGCCGUGAAAGGACCCAAAGUAAGGAAAGGAGUCUAAGGAACAUGGGGAUCUGGUCUUUUUUCCAUGCCUAGCAGGUGCCUCGAAUGAAGAUUCUGGAGCCCAAAAGCAGUUUUGUAUCCCUUAUCUUCAAUCCCAGUACCUGAAAUGACAGAGCAUGUGGGGGGCUCUUCAAAGCUGCAAAAAGACCCAAAUUCAUGAAAAGACACGAAGUUGAAGUCCUGAAGCCGUGAAAGGACCCAAAGUAAGGAAAGGAGUCUAAGGAACAUGGGGAUCUGGUCUUUUUUCCAUGCCUAGCAGGUGCCUCGAAUGAAGAUUCUGGAGCCCAAAAGCAGUUUUGUAUCCCUUAUCUUCAAUCCCAGUACCUGAAAUGACAGAGCAUGUGGGGGGCUCUUCAAAGCUGCAAAAAGACCCAAAUUCAUGAAAAGACACGAAGUUGAAGUCCUGAAGCCGUGAAAGGACCCAAAGUAAGGAAAGGAGUCUAAGGAACAUGGGGAUCUGGUCUUUUUUCCAUGCCUAGCAGGUGCCUCGAAUGAAGAUUCUGGAGCCCAAAAGCAGUUUUGUAUCCCUUAUCUUCAAUCCCAGUACCUGAAAUGACAGAGCAUGUGGGGGGCUCUUCAAAGCUGCAAAAAGACCCAAAUUCAUGAAAAGACACGAAGUUGAAGUCCUGAAGCCGUGAAAGGACCCAAAGUAAGGAAAGGAGUCUAAGGAACAUGGGGAUCUGGUCUUUUUUCCAUGCCUAGCAGGUGCCUCGAAUGAAGAUUCUGGAGCCCAAAAGCAGUUUUGUAUCCCUUAUCUUCAAUCCCAGAGUGCUGUAUCUCAGAGUUUAGAUGUAGAAUCCACCACAUGCAACUGGAUCACAGGAUCUCUCAACUUACAGCAGAGCAGAAGGUGCAAAGGUUAUACGGAGCAGUACAUUUGAAGAACUUUCUCCUGUG
This is a long non-coding RNA of Xenopus laevis (African clawed frog), 997 nucleotides long. RefSeq lists it as uncharacterized. The record is from RefSeq and is a predicted model, not a curated record. NCBI's taxonomy places the organism in Eukaryota, Metazoa, Chordata, Amphibia, Anura, Pipidae. The transcript is spliced from 9 exons.